UGUGCAGUUUUUGAAAGUAGACGUUGAGCUAUAUUACAACAACAUACAUUUUGAUUUAAAUCUUUCAGAUGGCAGGCUUAGUGAAAGCAGGGAAUGUUGCUUAUUUGUCAACUGGAAACCCAAAUCCUUUCUCCAGGACCUGGUAAAAGGCAAGUGCUGGUAAAUGCUUGUGUGAGAAUGAAUUGUGAGUUUGUUAAUAUGUAAAGGGCACUUACAUAAGGAAGGCUGAAGUUCUUGAAUUUGAUAGGAGCCUAAAUUCUAACUCGACCUCAGCUUUGCAUUUUUGGGCCCCAUGACACUAAAUUUUUGUCUUAAGUGUCCAAUGGAUAAGCAAAUUGGCUUUUAAAUAGGAUUUUCACUUUUGUCCCCUUGUCCUCUUUCAGUUCUCAAUGUUCUAUGCCAAGAUGAGCCAAAUCCACAGCCAGUUCUCUCCGCUGCUGUUGAAACCAGGGACAUUGACUCUGCAUGGUUUGCAGAUAACACAAUUUCAUUUUUAAAAACUUCUAGCCAGUCAAUUCUGCCAAGUCUGUGGAGGGUGAAUCCAAGAUUUCAUGGCUGAAAUGAAGCUUCAGCCUGAAAGCUGGGCCUGUGAGAGUCCAUAUUGGAAACACGGGUGAGCUGGGAGUCAGGUGUUUCUUGAAUCCCUACCAGUGCUGCCUUGGCCCAUUGAUCAGAUCCUUGGGUCAAGAAAGUUACUUCUCUCUCUUUAUCUCUAUCUCUCUUCCUUUCUCUCCUUCUCUUCCUCCAUCGUCUGACUACCUUUCCCUCUCCCUUUAAGAUUCAGGUGCUGCCUGAGGGCUUCUGGAGUCCAGAGCCCCUCCUGGCCCCACUCCAGAGUGUACUGUUAUCACAACACUUUCUAGAUUGUCUUCAGCUAAGUCAGGCCCCCCCUACCACCAGCUGUGAGUUCCUUAAGACUAGAGACAGCACUGGCUGUUUGCAUGUUUACAAUUGUGUACAUCUGCACAGUGUCUGGUUUUCAUGUGUUUUCAGUUUAGAUUAAGGCACAGGCGGGAGUCCUUCUAAUUGUAGCGGCCAAUUAGAAGAUUGACAGGGUUAAUCUAGAGACACUUCCUAGGGGAAGGGAUUCCAGAUGGAAGAAUAAAAAUUCCAAUACAACCAAAUCAAAUAUUUCAGGAUUGAAGAGGAAGAUGCAGACCUUUCUGUACAGCCCUGAUAAGGGCAGAUAAUCAGGGUGGAGCUGUUUGAUGGUCCUUAAUCCCUGAUUCUCUAUGCUGAAUAGAAGUAGAAGCAGAAGAAUAAGCACCUCUACCCUUUGGAUACACUCAUUUUAUUUCAUAGCAGAGAUUCCUUAUACCAUCUCCCUCAUUCACCCCCUACAAUUCUUUGUUGUUGUUGUUCUUCAUUAAUUGCAGUAAAACUGGUUCUCAAAGCUUCCCCAGGCUACCCAAAUCAUCAAAGCCAAGAUUUUCUCAGUUUUGAUGAUAAAAUCAUAGCUAUCAUUUCGUUGACACCUUAUUCUCUGCCAGGCACAGCUAAAUUCUUUACAGACAUCACAUUUCAUUGCUACAGGAAGCAGCUUUUCUUAGCAUUUAUCACAAUUUUACAUUUUGAAUUUAUAGCAUGUAAUAGUAUGUUUGCUGAUGUCAAAAGAAAAUAGGCACAAACAGUAAUUGGUCAUGGAUAAGGAUAGAAUAUUAUCAUGUCUGAUGAUGAAUCCAAGGCUCUGAGAGCUCAAGAUAACAGAGCUAACAGGUGGAGCUGCGUUUGAAGUCCGUGCUGCGAAGUCUCGAAAGUUCACCUGUGCUGAAUCAGCAGCGAUGGCAGCUGCUUCUCAGUUGCCCUCACACCCUACUAAGAUAGCAGAGCCCAGCAGGGAAAAGAAAGACUCCACCUUGAGCAGAUCAGUCUUGUAAAGAAGCGAACAUUGUACCAAGUGAAGAGCAGAGAUGGAAAACCUGGGUCUUUGAUUCCACAUAUAAGUGAUAUACGGUAUUUUUCUUUCUCUUUCUGGCUUACUUCACUUAGAAUGACAAUCUCCAGGUUCAUCCAUGUUGCUGCAAAUGGCCUUAUUUUAUUAUUUUUUAUGGCUAAGUAGUAUCCCAUCAUAUAAAUAUACCACAGACUCUUUGUCCAGUCAUCUGUCGAUGGACAUUCAGAUUGUUUCCAUGUCUUGGCUAUUGUAAAUAGUGCUGCUGUGAACAUUGGAGUGCGUGUAUCUUUUUGAAUUAAGGUUCCCUCUGGAUAUAUGCCCAGGAGUGGGAUUGCUGGAUCAUAUGAGAAAACUACUAAAAGGGAAUAAAGAGAACUCUAAAGAAUACCCCAGGGCUGAUGGAGUCCAAGGAAGGGGGUCCUCCCUAAGUCUGGGACUCAGCCCUCUUUGGGCUGGUUGCCCACUGGACGGUGGAGAAGUUUACUGGGUGCCCAGGCCACAGUGGUCUACAGUCAGCAAGCUGAGGCUUCCGGGCAGGUACUGUGGGGCUGGGACUCACCAGCUGGAAGCCUCCUGCAGUGGUGCCAGUCAGCUGAGACUAGGUGGUAGGACGCUGCCUGCUGGGAUGCUGAUGACAUUUGCUUGGAGGCUGCCUGUGGAUGUUGCUGUUGAACUGGCUGAGAAGCUGGCUGGAUACUGGCUGGACUCAACCAGAAACCUGCCAGGAAGUCACCUGAAAGAGGUGUUAUUGAACUCUCUGGGCACCCUCAGAACCCAGCUGAAUCCACCCAUGAGGAUGUGCCACGGAACUUACUGAUGUGAAGCUAGCUGGAGUGACUGAAGAACUCUCCAGAGGCUGCUGCCUGGAGAUGGGGAGAUGCCGGUGAACUCAGCUAAGAUGCUCCUGGAACUUACCUGCAAACUGCCUUAGGAGGUGCCGCUGCACUCAACUGCUGCAAAUCCUACUGGGGAACUUUUGGAACCCACUGAAGACUUCUGCAGGGGUACCGCUGAAACUCACUGAAGGUGAACUCCUCUGGAUGUCCUGCACGCUAGCCCAGCAUUGCAGGAGCUAGAAUGCUGGCAUGCACACAGGAACUUGGAAGAGAACCCUACCUCCUGCAGCGUCCCUCUAGCGCCCUCUACUGACAAAGCUUAACAUUAUGCCAUCUGGAAAGAAAUAUUUCAGUAUCCCAAGCAGGCAAAGAACGAUGGAUUUGGAGCUGAGAAGCAAUAAAUUAAUGACUGAUUGGCAUGGGGCUUUUGUCAAAAUCACUGCUCUAUUUUAAAAUUACCUCUUUACUUUGCU
Molecule: long non-coding RNA, 3203 nt
Organism: Camelus dromedarius (Arabian camel)
Lineage: Eukaryota; Metazoa; Chordata; Mammalia; Artiodactyla; Camelidae
Exons: 3
Source: RefSeq, a predicted model, not a curated record